This 233-nucleotide ribosomal RNA is filed under the name uncultured bacterium. Its description in RNAcentral is "partial 16S ribosomal RNA". It matches the Rfam family "Bacterial small subunit ribosomal RNA", at positions 103 to 334 of the family's 1533-position model. The record is from RNAcentral.
CGGGUGAGUAACGCGUGAGUAACCUGCCCUGGAGGGGGGGACAACAGUUGGAAACGACUGCUAAUACCGCAUAAGCCCACGGCUCGGCAUCGAGCAGAGGGAAAAGGAGCAAUCCGCUUUGAGAUGGCCUCGCGUCCGAUUAGCUAGUUGGUGAGGUAACGGCCCACCAAGGCGACGAUCGGUAGCCGGACUGAGAGGUUGAACGGCCACAUUGGGACUGAGACACGGCCCAG